GACGAACGCUGGCGGCGUGCCUAACACAUGCAAGUCGAACGGAGAUACGAUUUCGGUUGUAUCUUAGUGGCGAACGGGUGAGUAACGCGUGAGCAACCUGACCUUUAGAGGGGGAUAACACUUGGAAACAGGUGCUAAUACCGCAUAAGACCACGACCUGACAUCAGGAUGAGGUCAAAGGAGCAAUCCGCUAAAGGAGGGCUCGCGUCCCAUUAGAUAGAUGGCGGGGUAACGGCCCACCAUGUCGACGAUGGGUAGCCGAGCUGAGAGGCUGAUCGGCCACACUGGAACUGAGACACGGUCCAGACUCCUACGGGAGGCAGCAGUGGGGAAUAUUGGGCAAAUGGGCGCAAGCCUGACCCAGCAACGCCGCGUGAGGGAAGAA
This 385-nucleotide ribosomal RNA is filed under the name uncultured bacterium. RNAcentral describes it as "bacterial SSU rRNA". It matches the Rfam family "Bacterial small subunit ribosomal RNA", at positions 28 to 412 of the family's 1533-position model. The record is from RNAcentral.